Pelobates cultripes (western spadefoot toad) is the source of this 446-nucleotide non-coding RNA. The record is from the annotation of a GenBank genome assembly. Lineage: Eukaryota; Metazoa; Chordata; Amphibia; Anura; Pelobatidae.
AUGAAAACGGCAGUUAUAUUUAAACCUGCUUAGGCGGGUGUUAUUAUAGCAACGGUAGUAAACAAAGAACAGUAAUAUACUGUGCUGAUUAAAAUAAUAAGUAGUAACGUUUUUGGAAUUUUAAGUUUGCAACAAUGUAAUUGAUUGGUCACAUAGAAGAUAGUUUAAUUUUGUAACACCUAUUACUGAAUUUGCCGCGAUAAAAAGAAAGCCGGCAAACACUAUAUAAGUGGAUACGAGGCAGACCGCAUCCAUUGAGAAAGCCGCUGAAGCGGAGAAACGCAUCUGGAGGGGUCUGACUCCCAUCGAUACCAGCCAACAUUUGCACUUUAAAGAGGACUUUUAUUUGAUAUUUCUCAGCAUUAUUUUUGCUGACUCGGGACGCCGAGCAUUUCGAAUAAGGUCUGGACUUUUGCAUGGCUUUUUAUCAGUAAUUUUAAAUAGAC